Polypterus senegalus (gray bichir) is the source of this 1139-nucleotide long non-coding RNA. RefSeq lists it as uncharacterized. The transcript has 3 exons. NCBI's taxonomy places the organism in Eukaryota, Metazoa, Chordata, Cladistia, Polypteriformes, Polypteridae. The record is from RefSeq and is a predicted model, not a curated record.
CCACUACGUAUUUCUUUAAAUCGCAACAACUACUUGGACAAUUGUAGUCAUUCAGGAUCGUCAGCUUUCAGUAUUGCCACCAAACGUGAGAUGAACAACUUCUGUCAUCGUAUUCGCAGCUUGGUUAAUCAAGAAAAUUCAUACAUCCAGGUACAGUCUGUCAUAUUUAAGUGAGCGAGGCAUAUGGGAUUGACAGGCAUCCGGCAGGAAGUCUGGAAGAUCCCUUACCUGGACAGGAGGCCCUGAGAGUACAGAAAGGCAUCCUGGCCAAGAAAGAGAAGGAGGUUGCACCCGGACAAGAAUCUCUAAAGGAUAGAUGGACAUCCCGGUUGGAGAAGAUUCCCUACCCAGACGGGAGGCCCCAGGCAAAUGGACAGGUAUCACAGCCAGACAUGAUUGCAGUACCUUCCCUGGCUAGGAAGAGAACAGGGAAGGACUGAUGCAGAGGGAUAUUUAUUCUCCCAGAGGACAAGUGGCAGCAGCCCUCCAUAUUGUCACCCAUUUGGGAACCAGCAGGGAAUGCAGAGAGUUGUAGUCUGGCAGCACAGCCCUGCUGGGGUCCGUGGGUGCCACAAGGGGGUGCUGCAGGGAGAUGCACUCCCCAAGUUAUGGAACUUCAAUAUGACCCGGAAGUAGUUCCAUCUGGCAGUUGCCCUGGCACUAGAAGUACUCCCAGGUCCUUAAUAAAAGGGUCCGCACUUCCUCAUCCAGGCGAGUUGGAGCUGGGAGGAAGGAAGGAAACACUUGACUGGAGGAGGGGUGUGCGGUGGAGAGAGAGAGAGAGAAAGAAAACCUGUCCUUGUUCUACUUUGUGGAGGAAUUUGGUUGAAUAAACCAUCCAUUAUUUGAACCCGGGACUGCCUUUGUGUGAUCAUUUUGAGACUUGCUGAUGGCCCAGUUCUAUCACAAUUAAUAUAAUUUAAACAAUUUGUAGACAACAGCAAUGAUGAGUUUCUUGAAAGCUUUGUAACUAAAGUAGCACGUUAAAUCCUUCAUGAUCUACCGACCCACUCAUUAAUCACCAAGUGCUUCUUAGACUGACACAAAUUGCAGUGAAAGAUAGAACUCACUAAAUUCACAUUUUGAAAGACUAAAAUUUACACAUGACAAUUUUCAUGAUGAAAUACAAUACAGUAGAC